RNAcentral lists this unclassified non-coding RNA (230 nucleotides) under Hevea brasiliensis (rubber tree). The record is from RNAcentral. Lineage: Eukaryota; Viridiplantae; Streptophyta; Magnoliopsida; Malpighiales; Euphorbiaceae.
ACGAGCUGUGAGAGAGAACCUGAGAUCUGAAAAAAAAAAAUUCAAAGUGCAAUCUACACCAUGAGCAACGGAGAAGAAGAUGCAGCACGACGGCGUACUGUGGUGGCGGAUUAUCGCAAGAAGUUACUCCAGCACAAAGAGUUGGAGUCCAGAGUACGAGCUGUGAGAGAGAACCUGAGAUCUGCAAAGAAAGAAUUCAACAAGACAGAGGAUGAUUUGAAGUCCCUUCA